GUUCAGGGGGCUUCUAUGUAGCCAUCUUGACCAAAACCUGCCCUCGCUUCAUUUUCAGAGGGUAGUUCAAGUCCAGACUUCGCUUUAAGUUACUAGCCAGGUGUAAUCUUAGAAAAGUCUUACAGCAAGAAGGAUACUAAAAUAAAUUAUAUUCCUCACUUCCCCAGCUAGUCUCAAAGCUGUAAUUGGUAUUCAUUAUCUUCCUCUUCUUUUCUCUCCUUCCCAGUUCCCCCUGGCACUAUCGCUGAUUUGAGCUACUUGUAUGGUAGAGGACGUCCAGCCAGCUCAAAACACAGUCUUUGGACACAAUAUCAACAUGAAGACUUUGAAGGGACUCCAUGGAAUUGUGAUAGCUGCACUUUUUUAAACCAUCCAGCACUAAAUCACUGUGAGGAGUGUGAGAUGCCAAAAUCUGCUUGAAAUUCAGAAGAAUCUGCACCAUAUGGAGAGUAAAAUUUUGAGCUCUGAGACCUUGAGAAUCCUUUGUCCAGCCCAGCCUUUUCAUUUCAGAUUAUAUGGGAGAAGGAGUGAUACGGUAUUCUUUUGUGGUUUCUCAAGGAAAAAUUGGGGGUUUGUUUCCUUUAAGAGUGAAAGGUAAAAAAAGAUAUUUGGAACUGGGAAAGGAUUCAUUUCUGAAAGAUGGGUACAUAGAAAUCAGCACUUUUUUUGUGGAAUCCCUAUUGCUAAAGUUACUGCUGUAUAGCCUUUAUUUUUAAACUAGUACUUUGAAUUGUGAUAUGAAAUUUUACAGUUUCUUCAGAAAAACUGAAAUGCCACAUCAGACUCACUUGGUCACAGCUCUCUGGAAAACAAAGGCUCCUUAUGCUUCUUUACAUUGCUUCAUGCUGAAAAGGUAGAUAGGAAAAAAAGCACCCAGCAUAGUUUUGUUAAUUUGUUUGUUUUAUGCACAGUAAUAAGGGUGUUUAAUUUUUGCUUUUAUCAGAGGCAGUUUCAAAUACACCUGUACAAAAAGAGGAC
RNAcentral lists this long non-coding RNA (978 nucleotides) under Equus asinus (donkey). Its description in RNAcentral is "lncRNA (ENSEASG00005029452.1)". The record is from RNAcentral. Lineage: Eukaryota; Metazoa; Chordata; Mammalia; Perissodactyla; Equidae.